GAUGGGAUGAACUAAGCCAUGCGAGUCAUUGUAGCAAUACAAGGCAGACGGCUCAGUAACGCGUAGUCAAUCUACCCUAUGGACGGGGAUAACCUCGGGAAACUGAGAAUAAUACUCGAUAGAACAUUAUGCCUGGAACGGUUUAUGUUUCAAAUGAUUUAUCGCCAUAGGAUGGGACUGCGGCCUAUCAGUUUGUUGGUGAGGUAAUGGCCCACCAAGACUAUUACAGGUACGGGCUCUGAGAGGAGUAGCCCGGAGAUGGGUACUGAGACACGGACCCAGGCCCUAUGGGGCGCAGCAGGCGAGAAAACUUUGCAAUGUGCGAAAGCACGACAAGGUUAACCCGAGUGGUUUCUGCUAAAGGAACCUUUUGUCAGUCCUAGAAACACUGACGAAUAAGGGGUGGGCAAGUUCUGGUGUCAGCCGCCGCGGUAAAACCAGCACCUCAAGUGGUCAGGAUGAUUAUUGGGCCUAAAGCAUCCGUAGCUCGUUUUGUAAGUUUUCGGUUAAAUCCAUACGCUCAACGUAUGGGCUGCCGGGAAUACUGCAUGACUAGGAAGUGGGAGAGGUAGACGGUACUCGAUAGGAAGGGGUAAAAUCCUUUGAUCUAUUGAUGACCACCUGUGGCGAAGGCGGUCUACCAGAACACGUUCGACGGUGAGGGAUGAAAGCUGGGGGAGCAAACCGGAUUAGAUACCCGGGUAGUCCCAGCUGUAAACUAUGCAAACUCAGUGAUGCAUUGGCUUGUGGCCAAUGCAGUGCUGCAGGGAAGCCGUUAAGUUUGCCGCCUGGGAAGUACGUACGCAAGUAUGAAACCUAAAGGAAUUGGCGGGGGAGCACCACAAGGGGUGAAGCCUGCGGUUCAAUUGGAGUCAACGCCGGG
Molecule: ribosomal RNA, 883 nt
Filed under: uncultured archaeon
Lineage: Archaea
Description: bacterial SSU rRNA
Rfam family: Archaeal small subunit ribosomal RNA
Source: RNAcentral